This 366-nucleotide ribosomal RNA is filed under the name uncultured organism. RNAcentral's name for it is "bacterial SSU rRNA". It matches the Rfam family "Bacterial small subunit ribosomal RNA", at positions 526 to 896 of the family's 1533-position model. The record is from RNAcentral.
CGGAGGAUCCAAGCGUUAUCCGGAAUCAUUGGGUUUAAAGGAUCCGUAGGCGGUUUAGUAAGUCAGUGGUGAAAGCCCAUCGCUCAACGGUGGAACGGCCAUUGAUACUGCUAGACUUGAAUUAUUAGGAAGUAACUAGAAUAUGUAGUGUAGCGGUGAAAUGCUUAGAGAUUACAUGGAAUACCAAUUGCGAAGGCAGGUUACUACUAAUGGAUUGACGCUGAUGGACGAAAGCGUGGGUAGCGAACAGGAUUAGAUACCCUGGUAGUCCACGCCGUAAACGAUGGAUACUAGCUGUUGGGGGCAACUUCAGUGGCUAAGCGAAAGUGAUAAGUAUCCCACCUGGGGAGUACGGGCGCAAGCCUG